AUUAAUGACGAGUCCCAAAUAGUACGAAAUGCGCAUCCUGGAU
Molecule: non-coding RNA, 43 nt
Filed under: Trichobilharzia regenti
Lineage: Eukaryota; Metazoa; Platyhelminthes; Trematoda; Strigeidida; Schistosomatidae
Source: RNAcentral